RNA transcript from Sesamum indicum (sesame), 5648 nucleotides. RefSeq lists it as uncharacterized. The record is from RefSeq and is a predicted model, not a curated record. Lineage: Eukaryota; Viridiplantae; Streptophyta; Magnoliopsida; Lamiales; Pedaliaceae.
CAAUUAUUAUUGCUUACAUUCUCUCUAUAUCCAACACAUUCUCUCUGCAACUCUGUCAUAAACACACACACUCACACUCUAUUUCAGGUGUGUCACUCUGUGUGUGUGUGUGUGUUGUGAGUCAUAUACACAGAUAAGAGGAGAUGAUAAGAGAAAAGAUUUUCAGGGUUCACAGGCGCAAGCCAUCAUCAGUUGGGACUGAUGCAUCUGCACACAAAUUUGACUUCACAUUCUCCAAAAUUCAGGCUCUCCAGGUACCAAAAGGAUGGGACAAACUCUAUAUAUCUUUGAUCUCUUCAGAAUCAGCAAAAACGAUUCGUAAGUCGGGAAAAGGCUCGGUCAAGAAUGGAACUUGUCAAUGGACAGAAAUUCUUUCAGAAUCAAUAUGCACUUCAGAUGUUGGUGGUGAUUAUCAUCUCAAAUUUGUUGUUUCAACGGGAUCUUCUAAAUCUGGUAUUCUAGGAGAGACUACAUUAAAUUUAGCAGCCUUCUUGAGUUCAGAGUCUCCGACUUUAGUCUCAUUACCUUUGAAAAAGUGCAGUUAUGGGACAAGUCUACAAGUUGAAGUUAGAUGCCUGACACCACAAACAAAUCUCAGGGAUGAGAAAUGGAAAGAAACGAAUGCACAUAAGGAUGAGACUACAGAUAAUGACGACAUGGAAAAUCGAUCCGAAGUAUCCGAUUCUACAGUUACAAAGAGUACUGAGUCUUACUCCGGUAGUAACUUUGGCAAUUCAUCUCGUCCUAGGGAACUCGGUAGCAGGGAAACAAGUUUCUCUGCCUCAGUCUCACGCUACAGCUUCGAUUCAAUGGAUGAUUCUAUUGGAAGACAAAGCUUUUCCUCUCAAAGUGAGCGGAAUGGGCCAAACAAUGUUUUUGGAAGGCAAGAUUCAAUUGAAUCCAAUGAUAGUUCGUCUUACUGCUCUUAUUCUCCCCACGGUCCCAUCAGAUCAGUGCGUUCACUUCAGGGGCCGUUGGCAAGGGAGAACCAAAGUAACAAUCAAAGAGAAGAACUCAGAAGAUUAUCGCAUGCUGCUGCCUCAUUGUUACAGCAACAUGGCAGUUCCUCGAAGAUGUUUAAGGAAGACUAUGAUGCUAUAGUUCAAGAACUUGAGGCAGAAGCAAGGAUGUGGGAACAAAAUGCGAGGAAGAUGGCAGUUGAUAUGGAAAGUUUAAGGAAAGAGUUGUCUGAUCAGAAACUGAGUAUGACGAAACUGAAUACGGAACUUGCUAACUCGCAAUCAGAGAGUCGGAAAUUAACUGAAGAAAUCAAACACUUGAAAUCCCUCUUGGAGGAGUCAGCAGAGAAGCAAAAAGUUGAUCAAGAAACGGAAACAAGCAGUAUACAGAAAGAGUUGGAAGAUGAGAUGAGGUUGCUAAAGGAGGCAAAUGAGAAUUUAUCCAUACAGCUUAAGAAAACUCAAGAGUCAAACUUUGAGUUGAUUACGAUUCUUCAGGAAAUGGAGGAGACUAUGGAGAAACAGAAACUUGAGAUAAAAAGCCUUUCGGAGAUGUCGAAGGCAGAUAGCCAUGAAGAAGUUCCACAAGAGAAUAAUAGUAGCAGCUUAGAGAUUGAAUUGGUGAAUUCACAGGAGCUAAAACGAGCUUUACAGAGUGAAAUUCUGGUUCUGGAGAGUAAACUUGAGGACAAAGUAAUAGAAACAGAAAUUGAGCAAGAUCUGAAGAAUCAGAUUCUUAAGGGGUGCCUAGCUGAUUCCAGUCGUAGAUUAGCUGCUAAAGAGCAAGAAAUCAUGAAUCUGGAAUCCACAUUGUCGAGAGCUCUUAGUGAUGAGCCAAGAGAAGUAUAUGAACAUGGGAGCCUUGUUGAUGCAAGUGGAGAGAUUGAGAAGUUAAAGGGAAAGGUUAGAGAACUGGAGACAGAUUGCAAUGAGCUUACAGAAGAAAAUCUUGAACUUCUCUUGGUACUUAAAGAGUUAAGAAAGAAUGUUUCUGAAGAUAGCAUCGUGCGUCCCAUUUCAUCAUGUGAUGAUAUUUCAGCGAAAGGUAAGAACAAGGAACUUAAGUCACAGAUUUCGAUCGUUAAAGAUUGUAAUCUUGAUCUUGACCUCCAGAAAUCUAAUGAAGAACAAGAAGAGAAUGAAUCUGAAAUUGUUGAACUUCAAAAACAGUUAGUAAGUGAACCUGGAUCAAAUGAUGGUGGUAUCCUGGAAAACGUCUUUAAAUCAGGAACUAUACGGGAUGUGGAUGAAAUGUUUCCUGCAUUAUUGAUGCAGCUUCAGUCUUUCCUAGGCAGUAUAAAGAAGGAAAGUGAUCUUUCUCUGCUGCAUGCAAAUGGAUCUAAGGAUGCAAUCUGUGAUAUGUAUGGUUUGGAAUCUAUCCACUCAUUUCAGACAGCAAGAGUGAAAGAUGUUUUAAAUAGAAUAGUUCUAUUACUGGAUACCACAUUGACGGAAUAUGAAAACAAUUUUCAAAACAUUGAAGAAGAUGCUAGACGAGAAGGCGAGAGUAAUGCCUGUGAAGGCCAAAGUAGAAAGGCGUCUGUUAGUUUAGAGGAAAGCACACUUGAGCCAGGCAUGAGCUCAAAAGACGAAUUGGAUUCCAGUGAUGAAAGUACGUGUGACUGCAUGGUAGUUGAGCCUAAUGCUGAUACUUUGAGGAAUGAAAAAGAGAUUGAGGCUCAAAGUUAUCCCAAGAGCAGUAUGAAACUUCAGAACAAUAUGGAAAUUAUUGAUAGGGAUGGUACUGUCACCUCUGAUUGUUCACACAACUCGAUAAGUGAUAUGAUUCUGCUCAAUAGUAGCAAAAUUUCCCAUCUUUCACAUAAUAAAGUUGACAGAAUUACAUUUAUGGAGCCAGAAAACAACCAAACAGAGUGGGGGAAGCACUUAACUGAACUGGAAGAAGAAAAUAUUUACUUAUCACAACGAGUUUCUGGCUUGGAAGCUCAACUAAGAUAUCUAACUGAUACAAGGGAAUUGAGUCGUUUGGAGUUUCAGCAUUCAGAAUCUCAAGUUGUGGUUCUUCAGAACCAAAUCAGAAGACUGGAAGAAGAAAUUGAGUCACAAAAGCUCAAUAUGAAGCACAAGUUACUGGAAAUGGAAAAACGGUGGUCGGAAGCUCAGGAAGAGUGUACAAGUCUAAGCAAAUUGAACAUAAGGCUGCAGACCACAACUGAAAGUCUUAUUGAAGAAUAUAACUCAUUGCAAAAGUUCAAUGGAGAGCUAAGGGAACAAAAGUUGAAGUUGCAAAACCAGUGUAUGGUCUUGGAAGCAGAAGCGAGAAAGAUUCAAGAUUCUUGCUGCAGCUGUGCAGAAAAUAUGGGAACUUUAGAAGUAAAAUAUUCUUUACUGACGGAUGAAAUUACUGCAAAAGGGAAAAUCCCGAAUGCAGAACUUGAUUGUUUCAAUAUCCCAGAAGAAGAACAUGAAGACAAGCUUCUAAAAGAGAAGUACUUGCUGAAUAAAACAUAUAUGGAGAAGGCAAAAGAUGCUGCAAACCUUGAACUCAAGGUUGCAUAUGUAAGUGGUCAAGUAUCAACUUAUGUUGAAAAGGAACCGAGAUCUUUAGUAGCAGUAGCUAAAAAGCAUUAUGGAUAUCUAGAUAAAAGCAAACUGGAGAUGAGUAUAGAUGGAGUCCAGCAGGACGAUCUUGAAGGAUCUGAGAGGGAAAACAAGGUAGUUCUUGCAGGGAAUCAGGAAAAGCUCCAGAAAUUGUUUAACAAUAUCAUGCAUGAUGAAUCCAAACGCAAAUCCGUCAUUGAUGAGUUAGAAUCAAGAAUAGGACUUUCUGAACUAGAAAGGUUUCGGUUAGAGGAAGAAAACUCCGUUCUCCAUAGGCAGCUGCAGAUAGUUCCUGAGCUUCAAAAUGAAGUUUUGAGUCUAAGGGUCUCGCUUAAAGAAAUGAAGUUCCAAAAUCAGCUCCUCGAAGCUUCACUCGAGUCUGUGUCAGGAGAUUAUGAAGAACUAAAACACGAACGAGUUUCCAUGGUUCAAAGUAUCUCUAGCAUGCAGAAAGAAGUGUCAGAAGCAGAGGAUUCUAUACGUAAGAAGAAUGCACUGGAGGAGAAAAUUCUAAGGCUAGAAGGAGAUCUAGUUGCCAAAGAUGCAUUAUCUGUCCAGGAUGCUGAGAUGAAAAAUGAGCUCAAUCAGAUUAAAAUGGCAAACAGACAACUCCUGAUGAAGGUAAAACAUCUCGAAGACGUGCGAGAAGAUUUACAGAGAAUGGUGCAAGCCUUGGAAGAGGAACUGAAUCAGACAAGAUGUCAUGGUGCAAAUAUGAUUCAACAGUCAAAGCUUCCAAAGGGUGAAGAGGAUACAGUCGUGGCCGUGGGUCAGAGAAAAUUGUCUAUUGAUCCGCAUCAGUCUCAUAAGUACUUAAAUAUUCAAGAUAAUAUAGGCAUCACUGUGCACCAAGUUCAGGCUUUUAGUGAACGAGAUCGUUGUUUCAGAAGAUCUCGAGUUCCUGAAAUGGAUUAUGAAUCAAGAUUAAAACUUCUUGAGGAUGAGCUUGUCAAAGCUUUGGACUCCAGGGACAUGUACAAAUCACAGCUUGAGAGUGUUCUGGCAGUUGCUUCUAUCAAAUCAGAACCUAAAGAAACCACUGGAACUUCAAACACUGAAAAUAAGAUAUCACUGCUUGAGGCUGAGCUACAAGAAAUUCGUGAACGCUACCUCCAAAUAAGCCUGAAGUACGCAGAGGUGGAGGCUCAAAGAGAACAGCUUGUCAUGAAACUGAAAGCUCUCAACAGAUGAAAGCAGAGAAAAUUAGGGAAUUCUAGCACAGUGUUCUUGUUCGCUGCUUGCUCAUAACUACUGCUGCACUAGCCUCAAAAAAACAUCCAACUCUAGUAGAAUUUUCUGCUGAUCUCUGGCUCCAUUCAAUAUAUAAUUACGGAAACGUGAACGUCAUCUGUGAAUCAUGAUCGAGAAAACAUGUUUUGAGUAGUGGCACUCAUCAGGACCACCAAACAUCUAACAGAACUGGAGCAACUCCAAGAGCCGUACGAUGCAAUGUUGGGGUAUAACAGAAGAUGUCAUCUAAUGAAAGAAUUCUGUAGGGCUCCUCCAGAUUACACUCUCUUGAAGACAUUCAACUUUGAUGGAACACAAAGAAGGCAUUCCAGGUUGCCAUGGUUGGCUUGCCAAGUUUGCAUGCAAAAGGAUCAAAGAUUUUGUCCUCCUAACGGUACACAAGAGGAAUUCAUCAUCACCUCUUGGAUUUUAGGAAUGGAUAUGAUUUGGAGGAACCGAAACAAUAUUCUCCAUGGAAAAACAAAAGUGAAGGCAGAUGCCAUUGCCAGAAUUGCACAGGUCUGCACCAUCAAACACUUACAAGCUCAAGUGCUCAAAAGCCUCAAAGCUACUCCCUCUUCCUUUGACACCACCUGAAGGAUGGCUUUAAGGUUAGUACUGAUGUUGCAUUUUCUGAUGGUGAGGGAAUGGCUGCUAUUCGUAACUAUUAAGGUACAAUUAUUAGUGUGAAAAGCGAGUGGGUUUGGCCUCAUGGUUGAACCGCAACAAAAUUUUAGCUCUGAAAUCUGUCCAUCUUAUUUUGGAUAAUGCAAAGAUUGACAAAGCCAUUUUUUAGACUAUUCUCUUUUAGCUGCUGCAUCGAUCAAAAAUCAUUCGCCAGACAUGACCUGGAUAGCUUGGGCAUAAGUUAAAUGCCAAAGAACUUUGGGAAAAGUG